RNAcentral lists this long non-coding RNA (303 nucleotides) under Capsicum annuum. RNAcentral describes it as "long non-coding RNA (CANN_LNC017433)". Lineage: Eukaryota; Viridiplantae; Streptophyta; Magnoliopsida; Solanales; Solanaceae. The record is from RNAcentral.
CUCUAAUUUAUUUGUUUUCAUUUUCUUUAUUUUUAUUUUUUGAUAUUAAUAGUGAACUUACUGAUCUUGGGCAUAUUUAUAUGCUCAAAGCACCAAUAUGCACCCGGUUUGAACUUAGUUUAAGAACUUUUGUAUGAAUUCUUAAGUAUAAUUUAGCUUUUAUUCCGUUUUGUGCCUAAUGGAUAUGAUAAGUACUUUCAGGAUCAAAAUCAUAAAGAACUGUACAUAAUUGGAUACAAGGAGGAUAGGGAGGUAGUAUGCAAGGGACUGAAAUCAAGCUGAAAAAGGGAAGUUGGAAUGAAG